UGAAACAUAAUUGCUGCAUCAGUUAACACUGC
Molecule: non-coding RNA, 32 nt
Filed under: Mus musculus (house mouse)
Lineage: Eukaryota; Metazoa; Chordata; Mammalia; Rodentia; Muridae
Source: RNAcentral